GUAGGUGGCAAGCGUUGUCCGGAAUUGUUGGGCGUAAAGCGCGCGCAGGCGGUUCUUUAAGUCUGAUGUGAAAGCCCACGGGCUCAACCGUGGAGGGUCAUUGGAAACUGGAGAACUUGAGUACAGAAGAGGAAAGCGGAAUUCCACGUGUAGCGGUGAAAUGCGUAGAGAUGUGGAGGAACACCAGUGGCGAAGGCGGCUUUCUGGUCUGUAACUGACGCUGAGGCGCGAAAGCGUGGGGAGCAAACAGGAUUAGAUACCCUGGUAGUCCACGCCGUAAACGAUGAGUGCUAAGUGUUAGGGGGUUUCCGCCCCUUAGUGCUGCAGCUAACGCAUUAAGCACUCCGCCUGGGGAGUACGGCCGCAAGGCUG
RNAcentral lists this ribosomal RNA (372 nucleotides) under uncultured organism. RNAcentral describes it as "partial 16S ribosomal RNA". It matches the Rfam family "Bacterial small subunit ribosomal RNA", at positions 527 to 896 of the family's 1533-position model. The record is from RNAcentral.